AUUGAACGCUGGCGGAAUGUUUUACACAUGCAAGUCGCACGAGGGUUUCGGCCCUAGUGGCGGACGGGUGAGUAACGCGUAGGAAUCUAUCCAUGGGUGGGGGGUAACACUGGGAAACUGGUGCUAAUACCGCAUGAUACCUGAGGGUCAAAGGCGCAAGUCGCCUGUGGAGGAGCCUGCGUUCGAUUAGCUAGUUGGUGGGGUAAAGGCCUACCAAGGCGAUGAUCGAUAGCUGGUUUGAGAGGAUGAUCAGCCACACUGGGACUGAGACACGGCCCAGACUCCUACGGGAGGCAGCAGUGGGGAAUAUUGGACAAUGGGGGCAACCCUGAUCCAGCAAUGCCGCGUGUGUGAAGAAGGUCUUCGGAUUGUAAAGCACUUUCGACGGGGACGAUGAUGACGGUACCCGUAGAAGAAGCCCCGGCUAACUUCGUGCCAGCAGCCGCCGUAA
This 451-nucleotide ribosomal RNA is filed under the name uncultured bacterium. RNAcentral's name for it is "partial 16S ribosomal RNA". It matches the Rfam family "Bacterial small subunit ribosomal RNA", at positions 30 to 523 of the family's 1533-position model. The record is from RNAcentral.